GUGAGCAACUGGGUCUCUCAGUUCUUUGGGAGCACCCUGGGAAACAGUGUGGCUAUGACUUGGAGCUGCUCACCAGUUCCAGUCAUUCUGUGGUUGAGAGCUGCUCCCUAUGGAUGUUAAUUCUUCUCUAUUUUAGAUUUUCCACAGGUGUGGGCCCCAUUAGCUCUGGCCACCUGAGAAAGCCCUCAGGCAAAGAGUCGCAGGUGAAAGCCAGCAGUUAGAGGUUCACAGAAAUGAGUGCAGAAGCAUCUUCAGUUGGAGAGCCAUUGCCUCUUGCUGUGAAAUAUUUGGGAAUCUUCAGAAACCAUGAAGAAUAACCUGCUAAAGGCCACCAAGUUCUAUUGAACAUCAUGAAUCCUAUGCUCAAGUGAGAUCAGCUCAAGUGAGACCAGAUAUCUGAAGACCUUUUCAUUUUCGCCACCCUCAAAUGAAGGCAUGCAAGGCUGCUGCCACAAUCAUCAUUGAGAUUUCCUGUCAAGGCAUUUGCCACCAUUAGCCCUCUUCUUCUGACUGCUUGUUGUUUGUACUUCCUAGAGGCCAUGGUCAUGCAUCAGCCCUACUCAUUUAAAGAUCACACAAAAAGAUGAAUCAACCAAGGUUUGGAGACAAUAAACUGCUCACCCAAGAUUAUAUAAAGAAAGCAAAAAUUGCAGUUAGAAGUGGCAUUUGUUGGUUGUAGUAACAGUUAUCAUAAUCUGUGCCAUGGAUAUCAGAAAGGCCAAGUGUGAAGGAGCUGAACCAACUAGAAACUGAUUUUUAAGUUGUAGGUUUAAAACAUACCAGUUGAUGGACAGAGGCCUAUUUGCAUUGAUAAGUCACUGGAGUAAAGAGGUAAAAAUCUUAAGAGAUUUCACGUGGCUGAUUCAUUGCUACAGAAACAACUUCCUUGGUAUCUGAUGGUUAUAAGCUUAAUGACUCUUGCUUUGUUUCCAUGAAUGAAUUGGCAUCAUUAUGGAGAACUGAGGGAAUGCAGACUUUCAAGGCAGGGAAACAUUACAUUUAGCUCAUAUACAUGAUAAAAAGAAACAGAUUGUGUAAUUACUACACAUCUGUGAGCACAUUUUUUUUUUUAAAUAGAACUUUUCCUGAAUAAUUAAUCACAUCUCUUGAUUUAGGCCUUGGUAGUUUUUAAUAAAUUUUAAAUAUUUAUACCGUGUUGCCAACUAUUUAAUUGCUUACCAACUGCACAAUAUACAGUCACUUUGGGAGAGGAAUCAAGAGGCUGAUAAAUAAAAGGGUGCUAUCCACAGGCUGAAAUUUUUUAUCCUCACCUGCAAUUAAAGUACCCAAGAAUUUUUCAAAGCUACCUUUCAGAAGUGUUUUCAGAUUUUAUACAGUCUUCUUAAAAAAAAGUUCUGCUCCUGUAAUGUUGUUGAAAUAUAUUUGGACACCUAAAGUGUGUGCCAUAAAGACUGCUUUUCUCCUAGGAACAUUAUGCCUGUAAUUAGUAGAUAUUAUCACGAAGAUGAUAGAAUUUAAGUUUAUGGAUUGGGACCCAUGCAGUACAGAAAGCCCGGCAACCAAUGACUAACCAGUCCGGAUUCACUCAGCCUUUGCUACCAAAAAAAAUCUUAGUAAGCUAGACACAAAAGGACAAAUAUUGUAUGAUUCCAUUUACAUGAGGUACUUAGAAUAGGCAAAUUCACAGAGACAGAGUUAGUAUAGUGAUUACCAGGGUACAGGGAAGAGAGAAAUAAAGAUUUGUUUAACGAGUAUAUGGUUUCAAUUUGGGAUGCAAAAAUGUUCUGAAGAUGGAUGAUCGUGAUGAUGGUACAACAAUGUAAAUGUACUUACUGUCUCUUAGCCGUACAUUUAAAAUAGUUAAAAUUGUAAGUUUCAUGUUAUGUAUAUUUUCCCAAAAUAAAAAAUUUUUAAGCAAU
This is a long non-coding RNA of Homo sapiens (human), 1880 nucleotides long. Ensembl annotates it as long intergenic non-protein coding RNA 534. The record is from Ensembl. Lineage: Eukaryota; Metazoa; Chordata; Mammalia; Primates; Hominidae.